CCCUUAGAUGUUCUGGGCCGCACGCGUGCUACACUGAGUGGAUCAGCGGGUCAGGUUGCGCGAAAGUGUUUCCUAAUCUUGAAAUCCGCUCGUGAUGGGGAUUGACGGUUGCAAUUUUCCGUCAUGAACGAGGAAUACCUUGUAAGCGCGGGUCAUCAUCCCGCGCUGAAUACGUCCCUGCCCUUUGCACACACCGCCCGUCGCUCCUACCGAUUGAGUGGUCCGGUGAGGCUUUGGGAUCUGAGCAAAGAGAGCGUUUCGCUCGUUUUGCCCGGAAAACUCAGUCGAACCUUAUCAUUUAGAGGAAGGAGAAGUCGUAACA
RNAcentral lists this ribosomal RNA (322 nucleotides) under uncultured eukaryote. RNAcentral describes it as "partial 18S ribosomal RNA". It matches the Rfam family "Eukaryotic small subunit ribosomal RNA", at positions 1470 to 1796 of the family's 1831-position model. The record is from RNAcentral.